CUAGUGAUUGUGCCAGCAGCCGCGGUAAUACGGAGGAUCCAAGCGUUAUCCGGAAUCAUUGGGUUUAAAGGGUCCGUAGGCGGCUUUAUAAGUCAGUGGUGAAAUCUCCCGGCUCAACCGGGAAAUGGCCAUUGAUACUGUAAGGCUUGAAUUAUUAGGAAGUAACUAGAAUAUGUAGUGUAGCCGGUGAAAUGCUUAGAGAUUACAUGGAAUACCAAUUGCGAACGCAGGUUUACUUACUAAUGGAUUGACGCCUGAUGGAACAAAAGCCCUUGGGUUUGCCGAACAAGGGAAUUUAAGAUA
Molecule: ribosomal RNA, 303 nt
Filed under: uncultured bacterium
Lineage: Bacteria
Description: bacterial SSU rRNA
Rfam family: Bacterial small subunit ribosomal RNA
Source: RNAcentral